This 253-nucleotide ribosomal RNA is filed under the name uncultured bacterium. RNAcentral's name for it is "partial 16S ribosomal RNA". It matches the Rfam family "Bacterial small subunit ribosomal RNA", at positions 524 to 776 of the family's 1533-position model. The record is from RNAcentral.
UACGGAGGAUGCAAGCGUUAUCCGGAAUGAUUGGGCGUAAAGCGUCCGCAGGUGGCUGUGUAAGUCUGCUGUCAAAGAGCAAAGCUCAACUUUGUAAAGGCAGUGGAAACUACACGGCUAGAGUGCGUUCGGGGCAGAGGGAAUUCCUGGUGUAGCGGUGAAAUGCGCAGAUAUCAGGAGGAACACCCGUGGCGAAAGCGGCUCUCUGGGACGGUACUGACGCUGAGACGCGAAAGCGUGGGGAGCAAACAGG